AACCACCUGACAAAUUUAAACAAUAUAGGCAUGAGACGGAGGGGAAACUAGGAGACAGAACUGGCAAUAAAUUUGAGGUCACACAAGGAGAGUGAUGGAGCCUGUAUGUUCACUGUGGACUCAGAAGCCACUGGGCUUUGUCAUGUUGCCCUCUGCCCCCACAGUCCCAUAAUAGAGAAAGUGACUGAGCCCUGGAAGUUACAUCAUUUAAAUAUCUUGAGAGUAUAAGAGGUGGAAGCAAUUUCUACCAGCUGGGUGGAGACAACAUCGCUAAUUCUUGAGAGAUGUGGAGACUGUGUUCCAGGAAGAGGGAAGACCUUGAGUGAGUCCCUGGAGGUGAGAGAACAGAAAUCCUUUUGUCGCUCCCCAAGGAUGCAGUGAAAGCCUCCGUCCUCGCUGGUGCCAUGAUGCGUAGCCAUGGUGGAUCAUGCCUAUGGUUCUGGUCUCCACCUUCUCCACAGUAGCUGGGUGCGAGCCUCCUGAACCUUCAGGACUCUCACUGCCCCUGCUCAUUACCAUGCCCCCAUCCCUCCGCAAGCUGCCUCUCAAACAUUAGGCCUCCAGUAGUUAUUUGUGGAAUAAAUGAGUAAAAGAAGCAAAACGGCAUGCCCCGCUUCCUUCUGGGCACUUUCCUGCUCCUGCUGUCCUGAGACUUUCCUUUCCUAAUUAGCACGUUCUGCUGCAGCCACGCCCACCUGCCUGCUGUCCUGACCUGAGGGCGCUCACUCCUUCCUUUGAAUCCCCUCUAACCAGAAGGCUCCUGCCAUUAUUUGUACCUCACUCUUUAUCCCUUUUGAGAACAGUCUUUAAGUCUUUCCUGACCUCUCUGCUACUUCACCAUGUGGAUUCAUUCUUCUGUUCUCCAAAAGUACCUUCUAGAACCCUUUGUCCUAGUAGUGACAUUACUGUAUUGUGAUCAUGUGAGCACUAGGCUGCCUGUCCUAGUAGACUAUGAGAACUCCUGAGGGAGGAAAGCUGACAUUACCCACUGUUGUCUCCAACACAUUAAGACAUCUUUCAAUGCCAGAGUCUAGGUUUUAAGAAGAAAUAGAUUAUUGACAGCAAAAGCCUGGGAUUCUAUGUUUCUAUAAGGACAAUAUAAAUUAUUUGUGUUCCUUAUUAUACCUUUAAUACCUUGGCAUUGGCAUCAUUCCAUAAAAAAUGCCUUAUAUAUAGUAGAGGUAGAGCAUCACUAAUCUGAAAAUGCAAAAUCCAGAAUUCUCCAAAAUGCAACCAUUUGGAGCAUGGACAUGAGGUAGCGAUACCAUUGCUAUCUGAUGGUUCAAUGUACACAAACUGUUUCAUGCACAAAAUUAUGUAACAUAUUGUAUAAAAUUACCUUCAGCCUACAUAUAUAGGGUGUAUAUGAGACAUAUAUGAAUUUCAUGUUCAAACUUGGGUCUCAUCCCUAAGAUAUCUCAUUAUGUAUAUGCAAAUAUUCCCAAAUCUGGAAAAAAUCUGAAAUCAGAAACACUCUGGUCCCAAGCAUUUUGAAUAAGGAAUAUUCAGCCUGCAAUUGUAUCCUAACAUUACGAUUGAAUACAUCUUUUU
Molecule: long non-coding RNA, 1551 nt
Organism: Macaca mulatta (Rhesus monkey)
Lineage: Eukaryota; Metazoa; Chordata; Mammalia; Primates; Cercopithecidae
Source: Ensembl